This is an RNA transcript of Setaria italica (foxtail millet), 3071 nucleotides long. It is a transcript of the gene named zinc finger BED domain-containing protein RICESLEEPER 2, with no coding region annotated. The record is from RefSeq and is a predicted model, not a curated record. Lineage: Eukaryota; Viridiplantae; Streptophyta; Magnoliopsida; Poales; Poaceae. The transcript is spliced from 4 exons.
GACCCAAGGCAAGGAAUGGGUUACCCUUACCCGCCCCGCCCGCCCGCCGCCCCGCCCGCAGAUCCAGCUCGAUGCCCUAACCGUGCCCACCGGAGUCUCGAUCCCCUCCCAGUGAGGCUCUGGCGCCCCCAAGGUUCUCCAUCUCCAGCUAUGGAGCACCCUAUAAUCCAGCAAGCUGUGGAGCAUCCCGAAGUGCGUGAGGAGGAGGGGGAGGAGGAGGAGGAGGAGGAGGAUGCCAGCAUGAGAGUGGAAGGGGCAUUCGGCGGGGUGCACAGUCACAGUACGUUCAGGUUCAAGCACAAGAAGAGGUCCAAGGUGUGGGAGGAGUACAAGCCAAUCUUCCUGAAUGGGAAGGUUCAGUUCGCAGAGUGCCUGUACUGCCGCAGCCGAAUGAGCUGCAAGGAUUCCAAUGGGACCAGCCAUCUGUGGCGGCAUCAGAAGAUCUGCCCAGGCAAGGAGGAUGUGGUGCGGCGGCGGCUGAAGGAUUCCUACUUCCCAUGUGUUUUGGUGAAUGAGAAUGAACCGGUUACACCAGGUGAUCCAGUAAAUCAGAUUAUUUCAGAGACACUUGAUGACAUAAACUCAGUGAUUCCUGGCAGAUUCAAGUCGAAGGUGUGGAAAGAGUUCUCACCUAUCUAUGUUGAGGGGAAGCUCCAGGCUGCAGACUGCGUGCAUUGUCACAAGCGCCUCAGUGCAAAUAAGUAUGGGGGAAGAAGCCAUCUUAGUCGGCAUCUUCAGACCUGUCAAGCACGGAGUCAGAAGGGUGUGUUUUACCCUUCUAGUUUACCUAGUUUGAAGUCCAGGGGGCAAGAUGAGCUCUCUCCUUCCUUGACAAAUGGGAAGAUUCAGACUGCAGAAUACAACAGCAAGCUCCUCAGGUCUGGUAGCUCUGGUGACAAUUCACCUAUAGUCCGGCCCAUUCAAGUGGUUCCAGCACAUCAACCUCUGCCAACGGCAGAUUUUCCAAGCCUGAAGAAACAGAGGACCUCAUUUAUGACUACAACUACUGACAUAGGCACAAGGAAGGUUGAUCAGGAAACUGCUUAUCAAGAGCUAGCCAGAAUGAUAGCUUUGCACGGUUAUCCUUUAUCAAUUGUAGAGCAUGAAGAAAUGAGAAGAUUUGUAAAGAACCUCAACCCUAUGGUUAACGCAGUCUCUCAUAAUGAUAUGGAAGGACAUUGCUGCGCUUUAUUUCAGAAGGAAAAGGCAAACCUUAAAAAUAAACUGGCCCUUUCCUCCCGGCGUGUCUCUCUUUCAGCAAGCAUCUGGACUCCUGAUGGAGCUGAGCCAGCAGUAAAUUACCUUUGUCUGACAGCACAUUUUAUUGAUAAAGACUGGAAAGUUAACAGAAUGGUAAUCAAAUUUGGCAUGUUUCAGUCCUCACCUGCCAAUGUGGAAAGGAUGAUACAUUGUAAGGAAGCCUGUGUCCCAGAGUCUGAAAGUGGAGCAUACAACGUCAUAUGGGAUGCUAUUAGAGAUUGGAAUCUUGAUCAGAAGCUUUUGAGCUUGACUUAUGUUGGCGAGGUUAGGGAUGAUACAAGCACCUCAAAGUUAAAGGAAACACUUGUAGAGAAGAAGUGCCUUCCUAUCAGAGGCAAGAUAUACGAUAUUGCUUGUGUGGAUGAUUUCCUUAACAAUAUUGUUUCUGAAGUGCAACAAAAUAUCAUUCACCUCGUCAGUGACAUGGUAACUGAGUUUUUUGGGGUACAUACAUCUUCAUCAUCGAAACAACACCAGCUUGUGGAAGUCAUUUCGCAGAUGAGUUUGAAGUGCCCACAGGAAGAUGCCAAGUGGUGGCACAAAUUUUAUUUUAGGCUUGAAGUUCUUUUGCAUUUCAAGAAAUCAUUUCCUUCUGAAGAAGUGGCGUCUCCAGAAGAUAUCGGAGUUGCUGAGUCUAUUUGCAAGAUUUUGAGGACGUUUUAUCGUGUUAUUGAAGUUAUUUCUAGUCCUAAUUGUCCAACAGCAAAUAUGUACUUCAAUGAGAUAUGGAAAGUGAGAACAGUUUUGCAAGAGGAAGCAUCAAAUGAGCAUGGAGAAAUUGCUACAAUGGUUACGGAGAUGCAGGAAAUGUUCAAUCGGUAUUGGCAAAAUUCGUACUUGUGGUUAUGUUUACCUGUUAUUCUAGAUCCUAGAUUCAAAAUCAGUUUCAUUGAGUUCCGUCUGAAACGAGCUUUUGGAUUAAAAUCAGCGAGCUACUUAUCUGCCAUACGCCAAACACUCCAGGAACUCUUCCAUGAAUACUGCAAUUCUGUGGAUCAGCCGAACGGAGGUGCUACAAAAAGCGAAGCCUUUGAUGCAGAUGAUAACGACUCCUUGGACGAUUGGGAUCAGCACCUCAAUGAGCAAGCAAGUAGUCAAAAAUCUACGGAACUUGACAACUACCUUGAGGAUGGGUUAGUUCCAAGGAAGGAUGAUUUCGAUAUUCUGAACUGGUGGAUGUGCCAUACCACAAAGUACCCAAGGCUUGCUGCUAUCGCACAGGACAUCCUGGCUAUGCCAGCAUCUGCUGUUCAAUCUGAAGCGGCAUUCACCAGCAGCGGACCAGUGAUUCCCAAGCACCACAGUACGUUAAGCAUCAAGACAAUCGAGGCACUUGUUUGUACUCGUGAUUGGAUGAGAUAAGGCAGUAAGAUCCUCCUAUCCUUUGCUUAAUCCUCUUGUAUGUAUCAAUAGAGUUGAGACACUUCUAUUCGUUACCUAGAGUCAUUGUAUCCCAGGGUAUGUGCCAUGCCGCAGUGAACUGUGAAGUGUGAACAACUAGGACGUGGUGCAGUUUUGGUCAGGGGAUGAUCCGAACAAGUCUAUGACAUGUCUGCAGCGCCUUCUAAAGGUAACCCUGCCGGUGAUCCAGUCCCCUGCUUAGGUUGGUGGUGAACCAGAGUACCAGACAUGCUAGCUCUUGCUGACUUGUUUGCCAAUUAGAUGUGUAUAUAUCAGCCCGUGCCAUUUGCUUGUUGUAGUUGCAGAUGUUUUUUUCAUGCCUCUAAUGUAAUGUCGCAGACAUGCUUUGUUGAUGAACCCUAGUUCCUUACGGAGCAGUCCUAGGUUGAUGAAAGAAGAUGCUGUUGUCA